GCCCAUUUCCCCGCCUCAACAACCUCGCUAUACUACCAAUCAACCCCCCCCUAAACCAUUCGCCCUGCUAAGUAUACGAGAUAGAACAGCACCAAUCGAGCGCCAUAGCCCAAAGUACCGCAAGGGAACUAUGAAAGACCCCCAACAGCCCAAAGCAAACAACAGCAGACCUAAGCCCCCGUACCUUUUGCAUCAUGAUUUAGCAAGUACAGACAAAUUAAGAGACCUGAAACUUGUACCCCCGAACCCAGACGAGCUACCCUGAAGCAAUCAAUAGGAUUUAAUUCAUCUCUGUGACAAAAGAGUGAUACGACUCCAGGGUAGAGGUGAAAUGCCUACCGCGCCUGGCGAUAGCUGGUUGCUCACUAAACAAAUUUAAGUUUAACUCUAGUAUACCUACGGCCACCCAAACGGCCUAAAGACAGACCUAGAAGAUACACAACUGGGGCACAGCCCAGUUGUAACUGGAUACAACCAGCACUAGAGGGCCCAACUAUAACACUUCCCCCGUAGACCUUAAGGCCGCCAACAAGAAAAAGUGCGUCAAAGCACCAAACACCUAAUACCCACCGACACCCUCCCCCCCUAAAACAAACUGAGCCAUUCUGCCGUACAAACAGAAAAGAUACUGCUAAAACUAGUAAUUUACCCAGGCCAUACGCCUCACAUGCACGAUCUUACACCACCAAUUAUUACCAGACCACCAACCAACCGCUGACAAGAAAACUUGCCAUCCCACCUGUUACCCCAACACAGGAGUGCAUAUAACUUAACGUACUAAAGCCCCAAAAGGAACUCGGCCAGCCCACGUACCCCGCCUGUUUACCAAAAACAUCGCCUUUAGCCCACCAAGUAUUAAAGGUCCUGCCUGCCCAGUGAGCCCCCCUUCAACGGCCGCGGUAUCUUAACCGUGCAAAGGUAGCGUAAUCACUUGCCCUGUAAUUAGGGGCCCGUAUGAACGGCCAACCGAGGGUACUACUGUCUCCUGGGGCCCUACAAUGAAACUGAGCUCCUAGUACAAACGCUAGGAUUCCACCAUAAGACGAGAAGACCCCGUGGAGCUUGCAAAUUACAACCACUAAAACACCCCCUACCCCCCUACAACAGGACAUUAACAGCCAAAGCCCCACCUAGUGGUAAUUUUGAGUUGGGGCAACUACGGAACAAAACAAAACUUCCACGAAACAGGGCCCAACCGCCCCUUCAAGGCCAACAUGCCACCAAGCACCCACCCCCCCCCGGACCCAGUACAACUGAUUAACGAACCAAGUUACCCCGGGGAUAACAGCGCCAUCCUCUUCUAGAGUCCCUAUCAACAAGAGGGCUUACGACCUCGAUGUUGGAUCAGGACCCCCAGGUGGUGCAGCAGCUACCAAAGAGUUCGUUUGUUCAACGAUUAAAGUCCUACGUGAUCUGAGUUCAGACCGGAGUAAUCCAGGUCGGUUUCUAUCUAUGUAAUUAUCUUUCUUAGUACGAAAGGACCAGAAAGAUGGUGCCUACACCACCAAAGCACGCACCAACCCAACAUACUGCACACAAAUAAAGUCGGCCCCACCACCCAGGGACCCGAUUAAAGGUAACUUU
RNAcentral lists this ribosomal RNA (1584 nucleotides) under Crossobamon orientalis. RNAcentral describes it as "16S rRNA". It matches the Rfam family "Bacterial large subunit ribosomal RNA", at positions 583 to 2925 of the family's 2925-position model. The record is from RNAcentral. Lineage: Eukaryota; Metazoa; Chordata; Lepidosauria; Squamata; Gekkonidae.